GACAAACAUGUAUUGAUCUCUUCCCAUGUGGAGGCCCCUCCAGAAACCAGCAGUGGUGACUGCUACGAGACAGUUGUCACAGCUAACUCUCAUGGAGCCCUUUCUGCAGCCCCGGAGCUGGGCUAAGAGCCUGCUCUCCUUCAUCCUCACAACCACCCUGAGAAGUAGGUACUUUGUGGUCCCUGUUUUAUGAAGGUAAAAACAGGCUCACGGAGGUUAAGCAACUCGCUCAAGGUCACCAAGACAGUAAUCAGUAGAGAUGAUCUCAAAUUAACUGACUGAUUUAAACAUCUGGCUCGUAGCCAUGAUGCUGUUUUGCCCAGGUCUGGCUCCUGCCCCUGUGACUCAUCAAAGACAGCUGAUUGGGGGAAGCAGACCACAGCAGUGGACUCCAAGAGGAUUCUGGGAACAAACUGAGGCCAACUUGCUGUGUGUGCAAAGUUCUGUCCAAAGGGACCUUGGUGGGAGCAGAGAGCCCAGACCACUCAGGUGAACAUGGAAGAAUGGAAGGAACAUCUGCAACACAGAGAUGGCAUGCACUGGACACAAAGUGGAGAGAGGAAUCUAAGUCUGUGCCUCUCUCCUUGGGCUCUGUCUCUGGGCCCUGUCUCUGGGCCUCCCCCUGCACCCUCCCUGCUCAGCCCUGUCAGCCAGGCCCAGGCCCCCAGGACGCGGGAUCCCCAGCAGCCACCGGCACGUGCCAAUCUUCGCCCUGGCGGAGGCGUCUCCAUGGGCCGCGGGCCCCGUGGCGCGCCUCCUGCCCGCGUAAUGCGCUCUAAUAUUUAUUUACAUGCCUUUCAGACUAUUAUUUAUUAAAGUAUCGCUGCCAAC
This 831-nucleotide long non-coding RNA is filed under the name Heterocephalus glaber (naked mole-rat). RNAcentral's name for it is "lncRNA (ENSHGLG00000028464.2)". The record is from RNAcentral. Lineage: Eukaryota; Metazoa; Chordata; Mammalia; Rodentia; Bathyergidae.